RNAcentral lists this ribosomal RNA (620 nucleotides) under Sporosarcina luteola. RNAcentral's name for it is "bacterial SSU rRNA". It matches the Rfam family "Bacterial small subunit ribosomal RNA", at positions 85 to 691 of the family's 1533-position model. Lineage: Bacteria; Bacillati; Bacillota; Bacilli; Caryophanales; Caryophanaceae. RNAcentral also lists the same sequence under 1 other name. The record is from RNAcentral.
CCUGAUAUUAGCGGCGGACGGGUGAGUAACACGUGGGCAACCUGCCCUGCAGAUGGGGAUAACUCCGGGAAACCGGGGCUAAUACCGAAUAAUCGGUUCUUCCGCAUGGAAGAACUCUGAAAGACGGUUUCGGCUGUCACUGCAGGAUGGGCCCGCGGCGCAUUAGCUAGUUGGUGGGGUAACGGCCUACCAAGGCGACGAUGCGUAGCCGACCUGAGAGGGUGAUCGGCCACACUGGGACUGAGACACGGCCCAGACUCCUACGGGAGGCAGCAGUAGGGAAUCUUCCACAAUGGACGAAAGUCUGAUGGAGCAACGCCGCGUGAGCGAAGAAGGUUUUCGGAUCGUAAAGCUCUGUUGCGAGGGAAGAACAAGUACGGGAGUAACUGCCCGUACCUUGACGGUACCUCGUCAGAAAGCCACGGCUAACUACGUGCCAGCAGCCGCGGUAAUACGUAGGUGGCAAGCGUUGUCCGGAAUUAUUGGGCGUAAAGCGCGCGCAGGCGGUCCUUUAAGUCUGAUGUGAAAGCCCACGGCUCAACCGUGGAGGGUCAUUGGAAACUGGAGGACUUGAGUACAGAAGAGGAAAGCGGAAUUCCACGUGUAGCGGUGAAAUGCGU